AUCUGUCUGUAUCAAUUUCAUCGAAUCACGUCACUAUUGGGCACCUAGAUACCAAAAUUCGAAUACCAAGUUCUUCCUGGAUAUCCUAGAUUAUAGAGUCUAGAACUGUCAAUACAAUUUUCUCAAUAUGGCUCACGACUAACGAUAUGCCUAUGAGGAAAAACGGUUAAGUUUAAUAUAAUAACGCGUCGUUAAUCUUCAGGAGACGUAGAAGUGACGAGCUGCGGCUCGAUCGCCGGCGGCGGCGGGCGUCCACUGUUGAACAGCUGCUGAACGGCAGAGUUUUGCUUCGGCGCGUUGAUCGUUAGUAUCAAUGGAGUUUCGAGUCUGCUGGAAUGAUUUGACGCUGUAUUUGACGUCGUGGAUUAUGUUUUUAUUAUUUCUGUGUUUUUGAUAAAUUGGAUAGAGAAUUGUUAAGUAUAAAACAGGUCUUUUAUGAUGCAUAAAGCUUUAUGUUGUCACAAAACUGCUUGUUAUAAUACAACAUUUCAAACUAUCAGGAAGUAGUUACGAAAAAUUAUGCGUUAGUGGAUUAUGAAUCUGUUAAGUUGAGUAUAAGCGUUUUAAUUUGAUUUUGGCAUUCAAAAUAUUAAACAGCAUCUAUACCGUGUACCUUCCUACUAUUUGUGGUAGGCAGAUAGUGAUCGAGUACAUUAUUUGUUUAGAACUAAUAAUCGAUAUAAAAAAGAUCGCUACAAUAUACAUAACAUAUUUUAAUUCGCUAAAAAGGAAGUAUUUUUUAUUCUAGUAACUCAAUCUUAUAACUACUUUUAAUUAUAUAAUUAAAAUUCUCUAUCCAAUUUGGUUCUUAUAAAAUUGUUAAUACGUUCGCCAAUUCGCUAAUAUUUAGAUUUUAAUUAAAUAUUUAUUAAGUACAUUGGUUGCUUUUAAUAAAUUAUUGACUAUUAAAAAACCAGUAUGCUUAGUAAAUAUUGUGAUCUUUAAAAAAAUAGGAGAAACAAUUGAUAAAGUAAUUUUACGUGAGUUGCAAAAUAGAGAGUGGAAAUUAGAAGUUGGGAAUAUCCGUGCAGUCUACAAGACUAUCUAUAUCUCUUGCCCUCGAUGGACAGUACGGUUAAUAACUCUGUAAUAGUUGCCUUUGCAUAGAUAUUUGCAUUAAAUAAUUUAAUAUCUGCAUUAAAAAUACAAAAAUCACACUUAAAAUAUUUAAAAACAGUCCAGAAAAUGCAUACAGCGAAUGUAUUAACACUUUUGAAGUAGUAUUUGCUUUCUAUGUGUUUAUUUUUUUCAUACAUAAAUAAGUACUGAUAAGUUUUUAUAUUAUUAUUAAGUAUGAGUAAGUUAUUGUUAAAUAGGUGCCUAAUGCAAAUUCACCUGAAAAACAUUUUUUGCAAUUUAUACACCAUUAACGCAAUGAAGUUAAUCCGAGGUAACUGAAUUAAACUGUUAUUUAUAAUAAAUGGCGUGCGUGAACUUACAUACCUGCAAUAAAUUUGGCACAAAACGAGACAACCUGAUGAUUUAUAGCGCAAAAUGAGGCGAUAAAUUUUCUUUUGUGUAGACACGUUAUAAACGAUCUUGUAGACUAGUAUACGAGCCACAAAUACCUGUGAGUCGAGCUGUAUUCCUUGGGAGGCGUUUCUACGUUGGGCUGGGGGCUCGGCUCUGGCUCGGUUUUCUGUGGCUCCUCCUCAGAGGGCUCUUUAGCCCUCUCCACGAAGCGAACCGAGCGCGGAGUUACUGAUCCGUCUUCGUCGCUGGCGGUCGUUGAUCGUUGAUCGUCCGUCUACAUAUAGAAUCGUUGUUACUUGUUGCUGUUUUUAGUUCCUUGCACAUUCGUGUUUUGCACAAAAAAUGUGUAUUUUAUUAUCUCUGUAGAAAAUUCUGCCAUCGCAAUUAAUCUAAAUAAAAAUUCGCAUUGCUAACUACAGAACUAAACCUAGUGUACCUUCGGGAUAACAUGUUUAUAGCAAGCUAAACUUUAAAGUGCUUUAGCAUCUUUAAAUCCACCACGUUUAUAUUAUUAUGAGAAAGUUUUGCAUUCUUUAUGAGAUAUACCCACGUCCAGGACGUGAAGACGCGUAUUGUUUCACAAUGCACGUCAUAAUACGUUCAGUGCUAUUGAGGAAGUCUACAUUGUAUGUAAACAAUAUUUAAUUCUUUUGAAAAUAUGUUUUUUACCUGAAUUUUGUCGUUUCGUCGUUCUGAAGGACGCGAACAUUCGUUGCAUACGUAAAACUGAGCCUGUGCUACGACGUGUCGAUACGUUUUGUUAUACAGAAAGCGGCUUUAUACGUUCAAUACAACUCUAUAAUACACUUGUUGAUUAAAAAAAAAUGUGGGUUUAACUGAC
This is a long non-coding RNA of Manduca sexta (tobacco hornworm), 2314 nucleotides long. RefSeq lists it as uncharacterized. The transcript is spliced from 2 exons. NCBI's taxonomy places the organism in Eukaryota, Metazoa, Arthropoda, Insecta, Lepidoptera, Sphingidae. The record is from RefSeq and is a predicted model, not a curated record.